This 2667-nucleotide long non-coding RNA is filed under the name Equus caballus (horse). RNAcentral describes it as "lncRNA (ENSECAG00000046969.1)". The record is from RNAcentral. Lineage: Eukaryota; Metazoa; Chordata; Mammalia; Perissodactyla; Equidae.
UGUAUCUUCAUGAACUCUGCCUUACGGAUCACAUCGGUGUUCAUUUUUACUUGCUUUUUAUCCACUUGACCAGUCUUAGACUAAGAAUAAUAUAUCAAAUCCUCCUCUGUGAAUUGUUUCUAUCUGUCUUUACAUCUCCUAUAGACUUUUCUUUAUGAAGAUGGUCGCUAUGCUCUUUGUGCAUCAUUUGUGCAUUGCACGGAGCUGGAUUUUUUCUUGUGGCCAAUUGGACAAUCUUCUUUGAGGAGGUGACAUAAUCCCAGUUCCAUUUGUUGGAAUGACUGACAUGCCUGACGGUAUCUUUGAAAUACGAAGGGUAUUUGAUGACGUCUUUACUGGUUUCUUUCUGUAUAUGGUGAGUUUUCUUUUUCAUUUAAAAUAUGCUUAUUUGAGUAUUUAGAACAGUCUGUGUUUUCAUUUGUGCCAAUAUCCUCUUUAAUGCCCACAGUCCCCUUUGCCUCACACAGGUCUCCACUCUCUGGUGGGUUGGUCAAAAGUGACGUCCUUUGGCUCCCACUUCCCACUGAGAUAACAGUCCACGAGUCUGUCUCGCUGUCGCGUUUUCUGUCUCUCGUCUCCUUUCAUUUGUAACACUUCUCUUUCUUUUCAGAACGUAUAACACUCACGUACUACCGUUUUACGCUCGUCUCGUUUUUCCUCUAGUUUUAGGUCUACAGUCGCAUGUGAUCAAUGCUCUCCACCGGUGCCCUGGCUGACGUCCCCGGUUAUUUCUCAGUUGACAGAUUCCUCCGAAGGACGGGUGAGCACUGCUUUUCCUAAGUUCUUGUUCAUCAUAACUAUGAUCCUGUGGACCUGACUGGAUGUAACACCCUCAGCUCACACGGCCCUCAUGGUGUGUCUCAAAGAUGAGCAUCUGCUCUUGCCUUGCUGUCAAGGCCUCCGAUGCCGCCUGAAUUAUUUUUACUUUUAAGAUCCUUGGUCCUCUUGCCUGGAGGUUCUGAGACGUUUUCUGUUUUGGUUUGUUUCAUCCUCAAUGUCUAAGAGAUGGACAAAGACAUACCUUGGAGUCAGCUGUGCAGGUCAGUUUUCUGGGGGCACAGUGGUCCUCUCCCUGGGCCUUGUAUUUCGGGAAGCUUUCUUUGGAACAGAGCUUAAAUGCUAAUUCUGUUGCCUUUAUUUCAUUGAUCAUCUUCCAGAACUCCAAUUAGACAUUUUUUGCAUUUCUUUUGCUCAUCUUUUAUGUCUAUCACAUUUUCUCUGAUCCUUUUUAUCUCUUUAUUUUCAUUCAUUUUCUUGUCAGUUUUCAAGACUUUGCUCAUUACCCCUUACUAUAUUUUCAACCAAAUGUGUUCUCUCUCUUGGGCACUUUGUGAUUUUUGUCUCUAUCUUUAGGAGUUUGUCUUUGCUUCAAUUUUAUUCCUGUGGUAAGUCCAUUCUCAUUUCACAUACUUCCAGGUUUUUAUCCAUUUCUGUUCUGAGUUUUGGAAAUUCUGACUCAGUGUGUUUUCUUGCCUCAUCAAAUACUUGUUUAAGAAUAAUUCACUCAGCAGGACUCUUGUAUCAUGGUUUUAUUCUGCCAUGUGUGUUUUGAUCUGGAGAGAACGCACUUUCAUGGCUGUUGUCCACUCUUUUCUAUUCAACUCUCCGUGUCUUACUUUACUGAUUUGGCACGCGUGGGGAUUGCACGAGGCAGGGAUGAAGGGAUUGGGGCCUCUUCGGGUUCUUAGUUCAAGAGCACCUGCUUCUCAAUGUGUAAUGAGGUACAUUCCCUUUACUCCAUGAUAUUUUUGGGGGGAGUGCAGGUGCAGGGUUUGCUGUAGCUCCUGGUUUUUAACAAAUUUCUAUCAUUUGUUUGUUUUCCUUCCACAACAAACCCCAUCCCCUCAUUUCUCCCUGCCUACAUGCCUCCUCCUGAGCCAGCCCUCUCUCUGGCACUUUUCUCCCACACGUUCCUAAGCUGCUUCCUUUGGCUUCUCCAGUGGCUGGUACUCUGUCCUCCAUUCCUCACCCCGUCCUGAGAAUCUUCCCACUCGGGUGGGGCUUCUCUUUCUGGGGUCCAUGACCACAGGCACAUGCUCCCCACUCCUCUUUCCGGGGCACAGUCUGCCGUGCUCCGAGCGGGCUCUGGGGUGGCUCCAGGACAUGAGCGUCUGUUCCCAUCCUCACUAUUUUGUGGGGUCCCUCGUGUUCUGCCCUGUCCUGCUGCAGGCAUGAGGCUGGGGAGCCCCUUGGCUGGAUGGGCUGAGCUCCGGAGGAUUUUGGAGUGUGUUCAUAGAGAAACAGGUUUAAGCAUCUGCUACUAUUGUUUUGGAACCAGCCAUCCCUUUCUCUUUUUAUGUAAAGUUUCUUUUCUAUACAGCUGUGUUCAUACUGCAUAUGAAAUUGUCUGUGUGACUUUACACUGUGCCAGGCCUUUUUUUCAUAUCACUGUACUCUGUAAAAUGUUUUCAAUGAAUUGACAUUAUUUUAUUCAGUGGAUUGAAUUAUUUAUUUGUGUAACUGUUCCUCUGUUACUAGACACUGAUAAAACUGCUGUGUUUUUCUUUAUUUAGACUGAUUUCCUUAAUUUAGAUUUCUAAUAGUUCAUUUAAUUGGGAAAGCAGUAUAAAAUGUUUUAAGUUUCUUUGCAUAGUUUUCAAAUCAUUUUUUAAACUCUCAUGUCAAUUUAAAUUCUCACCAUCUAUGUCGAAAACCUGUAUGGUCCAG